RNAcentral lists this ribosomal RNA (657 nucleotides) under uncultured Gammaproteobacteria bacterium. RNAcentral's name for it is "bacterial SSU rRNA". It matches the Rfam family "Bacterial small subunit ribosomal RNA", at positions 44 to 715 of the family's 1533-position model. The record is from RNAcentral. Lineage: Bacteria; Pseudomonadati; Pseudomonadota; Gammaproteobacteria.
AUGCUUAACACAUGCAAGUCGAACGGAGACAUUGUAGCAAUACGAUGUUCUUAGUGGCGAACGGGUGAGUAACGCGUUGGUGACCUGCCCCGAAGAGGGGGAUAACAGUCCGAAAGGACUGCUAAUACCCCAUGUGGUCUCAGGGAUUAGAUGCCCUGAGUCUAAAGGAGUAAUCCACUUUGGGAGGGACCUGCGUCCCAUCAGCUAGUUGGUAAGGUAACGGCCUACCAAGGCUUCGACGGGUAGGGGACCUGAGAGGGUGGCCCCCCACAAUGGAACUGAAACACGGUCCAUACACCUACGGGUGGCAGCAGUAGGGAAUAUUGGUAAUGGGCGAAAGCCCGAACCAGCAACGCCGCGUGUGCGAUGAAGGCCUUCGGGUCGUAAAGCACUUUUUGAGAAGAUGAUAAAAGACAGUACUCUCAGAAUAAGUCUCGGCUAACUACGUGCCAGCAGCAGCGGUAACACGUAGGAGACAAGCGUUAUCCGGAUUUACUGGGCGUAAAGCGCGUGCAGGCGGUUUGGAAAGUUGGAUGUGAAAGCUCCCGGCUUAACUGGGAGAGGUCAUUCAAAACUACCAGACUUGAGAGUGGUAGAGGAAGGUGGAAUUCCGGGUGUAGUGGUGAAAUGCGUAGAUAUCUGAAGGAACACCAGUGG